CAGUAGCCACGGUAAUACGUAGGGUGCGAGCGUUGUCCGGAAUUACUGGGCGUAAAGAGCUCGUAGGCGGUUUGUCGCGUCGUCUGUGAAAUUCUGCAGCUUAACUGUAGGCGUGCAGGCGAUACGGGCAGACUUGAGUACUACAGGGGAGACUGGAAUUCCUGGUGUAGCGGUGAAAUGCGCAGAUAUCAGGAGGAACACCGGUGGCGAAGGCGGGUCUCUGGGUAGUAACUGACGCUGAGGAGCGAAAGCGUGGGUAGCGAACAGGAUUAGAGACCCCCGUAGUCCCUGUCUCUUAUAC
This 301-nucleotide ribosomal RNA is filed under the name uncultured bacterium. Its description in RNAcentral is "partial 16S ribosomal RNA". It matches the Rfam family "Bacterial small subunit ribosomal RNA", at positions 509 to 807 of the family's 1533-position model. The record is from RNAcentral.